GGGGUUCUGGCCGAGUGGUUAAGGCGCUGUGUUUAGGCUCUCAUGUCCGCAGUGGGAAACCGCGCAGGUUCGAAUCCUGCGGACCUCA
RNAcentral lists this transfer RNA (88 nucleotides) under Blumeria hordei DH14. Its description in RNAcentral is "tRNA-Leu for anticodon UAG". It matches the Rfam family "tRNA". Rfam says of the family: Transfer RNA (tRNA) molecules are approximately 80 nucleotides in length. The record is from Rfam by way of RNAcentral. Lineage: Eukaryota; Fungi; Ascomycota; Leotiomycetes; Helotiales; Erysiphaceae.